GAUGAACGCUGACAGAAUGCUUAACACAUGCAAGUCAACUUGAACUUCGGUUUGGGUGGCGGACGGGCGAGUAACGCGUAAAGAACUUGCCUCACAGAUAGGGACAACAUUUGGAAACGAAUGCUAAUACCUGAUAUUAUGAUUAUAUGGCAUCGUAUAAUUAUGAAAGCUAUAUGCGCUGUGAGAGGGCUUUGCGUCCCAUUAGCUAGUUGGAGAGGUAACGGCUCACCAAGGCGAUGAUGGGUAGCCGGCCUGAGAGGGUGAUCGGCCACAAGGGGACUGAGACACGGCCCUUACUCCUACGGGAGGCAGCAGUGGGGAAUAUUGGACAAUGGACCAAGAGUCUGAUCCAGCAAUUCUGUGUGCACGAUGAAGUUUUUCGGAAUGUAAAGUGCUUUCAGUUGGGAAGAAAAAAAUGACGGUACCAACAGAAGAAGUGACGGCUAAAUACGUG
RNAcentral lists this ribosomal RNA (454 nucleotides) under uncultured bacterium. Its description in RNAcentral is "partial 16S ribosomal RNA". It matches the Rfam family "Bacterial small subunit ribosomal RNA", at positions 28 to 507 of the family's 1533-position model. The record is from RNAcentral.